UUCUAUUGAGGUAGUGCACGAAGCCCACA
RNAcentral lists this non-coding RNA (29 nucleotides) under Rattus norvegicus (Norway rat). The record is from RNAcentral. Lineage: Eukaryota; Metazoa; Chordata; Mammalia; Rodentia; Muridae.